UUCCUUCUCCAAAUCAUCACCGAAUGAUCCGUCAUUAGUUCCUAUCAUCGGCCGCCUACCCAAUUCAGAUAACAUAUUCAAAACCCCAAUUUGAUCAUCACCCACUAUAACGACUCAAAAACUGAUGAAUACCCAGUACAACAAUCACAAUCUAAAACCUAAAAAAUCCCCAAAAUGAGAACUUUCGACGUUUAAAGCAGCUAAACACCAUAUAUACAGGUCCAAUAAGGUAACUUUGACUACAAAAGAUCAAAACAUUCUAUCACCUAAACUGCUCCGAAAUCAAUAUUCUCAAUCGUAAACUACAAACCUCGAUUAUUAGCCAAAAAAAAAAAAAUUAGAAUCGAAGUAUG
RNAcentral lists this unclassified non-coding RNA (353 nucleotides) under Hevea brasiliensis (rubber tree). The record is from RNAcentral. Lineage: Eukaryota; Viridiplantae; Streptophyta; Magnoliopsida; Malpighiales; Euphorbiaceae.